This 1435-nucleotide ribosomal RNA is filed under the name Bacteriovorax sp. 1b4. Its description in RNAcentral is "partial 16S ribosomal RNA". It matches the Rfam family "Bacterial small subunit ribosomal RNA". The record is from RNAcentral. Lineage: Bacteria; Pseudomonadati; Bdellovibrionota; Bacteriovoracia; Bacteriovoracales; Bacteriovoracaceae.
AAUGACCGGGGUAAAUCCGCGGUUCCAUUGGCAGCCGGACAACUUUCAAUUCGGUGGCGAGUGAUGGGCAUGGUGAGAAAGGCGUAGGUUACCUACCUCAUAGCGGGGGACAACCAGGUUAAAUUCUGGCUACUACCGCAUACGUAGCACGACAUGGGAAAAGUGCUAGAAAGAAUGCCUCUCCUUGGAAGCAUUUACUAUGAGAUGGGCCUGCGUUGUUUUAGCUUGUUGGUGGGGUAAUGGCCUACCAAGGCAACGAUGCAUAGCUGGUCUGAGAGGAUGAUCAGCCACACUGGAACUGAGACACGGUCCAGACUCCUACGGGAGGCAGCAGUGGGGAAUAUUGCGCAAUGGGGGAAACCCUGACGCAGCAAUGCCGCGUGAGUGAGGAAGGCCUUCGGGUUGUAAAGCUCUGUCAGAUGGGAAGAACAGCAGUUGGUCCAAUAGGCCAUCUGUUUGACGGUACCUUCAAAGGAAGCACCGGCUAACUUCGUGCCAGCAGCCGCGGUAAUACGAAGGGUGCAAGCGUUGUUCUGAUUUAACUGGGCGUAAAGCGCGCGCAGGCGGAGUGAUAAGUCAGAUGUGAAAUAUCGCGGCUCCUCCCCGAAACAGCGUCUGAAUCUGUUGAUCUAGAGUUAUGUAGAGGAGAAGGGAAAUUCGCAUGUAGGGGUAAAAUCCGUAGAGAUGCGAAGGAACACCAGAGCCGAAGGGGCUUCUCUGGGCAUACACUGACGCUGAGGCGCGAAAGCGUGGGUAGCAAACAGGAUUAGAUACCCUGGUAGUCGACGCCGUAAACGAUGAGUACUAGAUUUUGGGGCGGUUGACCGCUUCAGAGUCGCAGCUAACGCAUUAAGUACUCCGCGUGGGAAGUACGGUCGCAAGACUAAAACUCAAAGGAAUUGACGGGGGCCCGCACAAGCGGUGGAUUAUGUGGUUUAAUUUGAAGCAACGCGCAGAACCUUACCUGGGCUUGAAAUCCCCAGAAGAUCGGCCAAAAGGUGAUUGUGCUUUUCGGAGAAGUCGGUGACAGGCGCUGCAUGGCUGUGGUCAGCUCGUGUCGUGAGAUGUUGGGUUAAGUCUCGCAACGAGCGCAACCCCUAUCCUUAUUUGCCAGCACUAAGUUGUGCACUCUAGGGAGACUCCUUGGGUUAACCAGGAGGAAGGUGGGGAUGACGUCAAGUCCUCAUAGCCCUAAUGUCCAGGGGGACACACGUAAGACAAUAGUGCACACAAAGGGACGCGACCCCACGAGAGGCUCAAAUCUCAAAGAGUGCAUCAAGUCCGGAUUGGAGUCUGCAACUUUACUCCAUUAAAAGGAAUCGCCAGUAAUAGCCGAUCUUUAAGACGGUGAUAAUACUUCCCAGGCGUAUACACACCGUUAUUAUCCUGGGAGGGAAUAACGAAGCAAGCCCGGGUAUCUUACGAUGGUGAGAAC